UACACACUCAAAUGUGUCUGAGCUCCAACA
RNAcentral lists this non-coding RNA (30 nucleotides) under Mus musculus (house mouse). Lineage: Eukaryota; Metazoa; Chordata; Mammalia; Rodentia; Muridae. The record is from RNAcentral.